AACUCUCACCCUUCAACUUUCUUAAUAGUGGUUGAAGGCGUGGACUUGAGCGCUGCUGGUUUUUAUUAACCGGCUCGCUUGAAAUGAAUUAGCAGAUCCUUUUUGUAAUCGGUUCCACUCGACGUGAUAAGUAUUUCGCCGAGGACAUCUUAACGGAUGGCCGAGAUAAAGAAAGUCUUUAGAUCCGCUUCUAAUUCUUAGCCUUACGCAAGUAAGCUAAACCCAUUUUAUG
RNAcentral lists this unclassified non-coding RNA (232 nucleotides) under Mrakia aquatica. RNAcentral's name for it is "partial internal transcribed spacer 2". Lineage: Eukaryota; Fungi; Basidiomycota; Tremellomycetes; Cystofilobasidiales; Mrakiaceae. The record is from RNAcentral. RNAcentral also lists the same sequence under 1 other name.